AGUCCACACGAGCCUGCCUCCAGGAAGCUUCCUGGACCUUUCUUCUGCCACCCCCCUCCACCGCAGGCAGACGAUACUCCCUCCACACCAUUUCCUCUGAGUCAACGACCAGCCCAGCGAGUGGCAUGGAGGAGGUGAGGAGUAUGUGCCCAGUGAGUGAAUGAAUGAAUACAUGAAUGAGUGAAUCCUCCCACUAUUGGAAAACAGAACCCGAGGAUAACAAGGGUGGCCAGUAGCUACCGACUGUCAGUCUAAAUUAAUUUAGGACCGAGGAGAGAAAGCCAUGCUGCUCGGGGCCGCAGUAGGAGACAGAGCAGUUUCUAGGAGUCAGCCACGCACUGGCCCUUCCUUGGAGACUGGAAACCGCAGUGGUUCUAACAGCCAGUGCACAGGGCUUCCUUCACACUGGAGCCUUCCUGAGCAUGUUGCAUUUGUUAACUCAUUUCAUCCUCAUAGCAAUUGAUGAAGGUAUUGUUACUAUUAUCUCCACUUUAGAGAUGAGGAAACUGAGGCACAGGAGCGUUCAGUAACUUGCCCUGGUUCAGUCAAAUGGCUAAUCUGUGUCACAGCCAGACCUCAUGCCCAUUUCUCUGAAAUUCCAGACAUGGGUGGGGUAGGGUAGGGCGGUAUGAGCUCUUCUUGGACCAGGAAGAAGAAAUGAGGCCGGGGGAAGGCCCAGGUCCCAGUCUUUGCCCGACUCAUCCCCUGUUCUCCUGGGUGCCCACUCCCCCUCAGGGCAGCCUGGGCCAGGCAUUGGUGUAAUAAGGGUCACAGGUGUGUGAUGGAGGAGGGAGCAGUACUCUGUGACCCAGGCCCUGGUAAGGAGGUGGAGCACCAACAAACUCCAGGAAACACAAGGCCAGCCUUGGUAUUUUCACUUCAUUCGUGGUCUUUCCAAAAGGAAAUGUAACCCCUUAAAACAGAAUGGGUCUGCCAUGCAGCGGCAUCUAAGUGCUGCCCAGGUACCCAGCGAAGUCAGAGGCAAGUCCGGGAGGGACCCAGGGGAGGGGAGUUAUCUGUUUCCCCAGCUGUGUUCCUGGUGGCUGCUAAUAACCCCCAUGUAUCAUUCUGCCUGGCUCCGAAAACAUUCUGACUGGCGUUAAAAAUGGGCCCCUCUUCUGCCCGUGGCUUGGCGCCCCUGCAACACGUGUGGGAUGCUGGUUGUUAGCAUGCUGCUUGUGUAAUUAGGGCGGCGAGGAUGGCAAAGGGCCCACCCCGGGUCCCCAAGAGUGAUUGCAGUUCAGAAAAAGCACCCACUUGGUUCUGCGCUGAUUAAUGAUGGACCCCGCUAAUAGCCCUGCUUAACACAGGAGUUUGUCAAGAUUAAGUAAUUGCCUGAAACAAAAAGUGUAUUAUCUUUAAGGCCCCACUGAUGAAUGACUGCUGCUAGGAAAUGGGGUGAUGGAUGUCUGUGACUCCCUGCCACCAUCCCUCCCCCAUUUGCAUAAAUUAAAAUGCAUCCCUUGAUUAGGCAAGAAGCCCUGACAGACCGUGCCAAGGGACCAGGUGGCUGAGGGCCCUGCUGUCACCCCUGGCUCAGGCCUGCUGACCACCGGGAGGCCCCAAACGGCUUGUUAGCAUUAUAAGUUGUGGGAUGGACAUAGGCCUCAUGGGCAGGGGUGGACCAGAUGCCCCAGGGGGAUCAAGGUUGGGACAUGACAGCUAAAAGGAGGAAACCACAGCACAGGAAAACGGAGGGGACCCAGAGGGAAAUGGGACCCACAGCCCCAGCUAUGGCUGGACGGAGGCUCACUCCACCCCCAGCUGGGCCUACACGGAGGAGCUGUAGCUAUGGCUUCAGUCAUCGGUCCCUUAUGGAAUAAAUCUGUAGGAAGGCCUACGAAGGGUCUGCUGUCCCCAGGGUUGUGGGGUCCCCACCUGUAAAGUGGAUUUUAAAAUUUUAUUUUAUUUUAUUUUGAGACGGAGUCUCACUCUGUCGCCCAGGCCGGAGUGCAGUGGCGUGAUCUCAGCUCACUGCAAGCUCCGCCUCCCGGGUUCAUGCCAUUCUCCUGCCUCAGCCUCCCGAGUAGCUGGGACCACAGGCGCCCACCACCACUCCCGGCUAAUUUUUUGUAUUUUUAGUAGAGACAGGGUUUCACCGUGUUAGCCAGGAUGGUCUCAAUCUCCUGACCUCGUGAUCUGCCUGCCUCGGCCUCCCAAAGUGCUGGGAUUACAGGUGUGAGCCACCACGCCCGGCCUAAAGUGGGUUUAUAAAUGAGGGGGUGUGCACGAUCUAACCACAGUCACAGAGGCAUAUUUUUAUACCUCUGGGCAUCAGGUUGCCAGGUCUGGGGCCAUGAAGUCAAUGUCCUUUGAGCAUUUCUUUCCUUCUGGAUGGCACUUUGUAAAAGACAGUUCACAGCAAGGGACAGAGCCAGGUGCAGUGGGAGGAAGCUGGCAUGGGGUAGGGCUGACCAGAGAUAGUGGCUGAGGGAAGGGCAGCAGGGGAGGGGAGCUGGGCUUGGUGGGGAGGGAGACAGUAGGGCCACAUUUGAGAAGAGGCUGCAGGGCCCAGCCAGGCAGGGAACACCAGGUGGGAGGCACCUCCAGGUGAUCUCUCUGUGGGACCCAACCAGGAAGAGCACUUUGGGCAGGAGCAAGCCCUCCCCACGUCAGCCAAAAGGCGGAGGGUGCAUUUAUUCCCAAUGAAUGACAACAAUCAUGCCACAAUCCUAUGGCUUCUGGUGGCUCAGGGGACCGGGGAACUGGGGGAGCCUCACAGCCUCUCUGCUGGAGGUUAACUCCUCAGCACAAGCACAAGCCAUAGACAACACUGCACCCCAAUUCCCCACCCUGGGUCAGGGAUGCCAUUUUCCAGGCACAGGCAGAGACGGGGGGUGAUCUAGGCACUAACGUGAAGCCUUCUCAGCCUGCAUCUGACUCCUGUAGACAGUCUGUCCUCCAGCCAUCAGCCAUUCAGCACUCUCCUUAGUGGCUGGCUCCCCCCUUCCUUUCUGGGCAAAAUAAGAUUCCCAAACCAAACCACCCACCCUGAAUCUGCCUCCAGGCUGGAGUGACACAAGCUAGAGCUGGGAGCUGUUCCCAUAACAUUGGUUUCCCCUAAACCACAGCUUCAGCUUCAGAGCACAUGCUAUGUGUGGCCCAUCGGUGGGAGGGGCUGGAGCCAGGGGGCCCAAGCAGUGGCCAGGUCUGUUGGGGGGCAGGGGGUGUCUUCCCUCCUAGGAAGGGGAAACUGCCUUCUCCCACAUCACAGAUGGCUGCAGGGCCCUGCCUCAUAGUUCUCAGCCCAGGACCCAGGCUUCUUUUCCCUUUUCAGGUGCUGAGAGGGACCCACAGUGGAUGACUCUAGAGCAUGAGUCUGCACGGGAAGCAGAUCCAGUGCUCAGAAGAGGGGGCCUCCAUAUGCAAGGGGCUUGGGAAAGGGGUCCCCAUGCAGCUGCCCACCAGAGGGGAGGCGAGGAUGCCACUUCUCUUGUUCUACCCAAGUGUGCACAAAUGAGUCACCCUGAAACCCAUGUCCAUGCCACGCUCUGGACAGUCUUGGGCACCUUCCCCAAUGGCCAGCCCCACUCAGGCCAAAGCCAAGCACGGCUGAGUGCACAGACCACCAAACCAGGGCAUGAAGGGUCACCCCUGGGUGACAGGCCCCCCAGGCCAUGGCUCCUCUGCUAUAAGAGUCCCCACUAUCAACCAGUCCUGCUGACCCCACAGUGCCAAGGGCAGGUUUAAUGACCUAUAAUAGGGCCCCAUGUGGGCAUGAGGCCAUCCUGUGCUGUCCACACCAGGGCUCCUGAGGACAGUCUAGCCCCCUGCUGGGGGCUUUCACCAGGUGGUGAAAAAGGAUCAAUUGGCUCCCCCUUGAGGGCAGCACCCAUCACAGCUGCAUCGUUCCUGAUAGUAAGAUUGCUUUCCCAUGCCCAGCAGUCCGGUGGGAAGCACUCAGUGUACCACACAAUGACAAAAGCUGCUGCAAGUUCCCCUGCGGGCACGGUUGUAGGCACUUCAUAUUCCUGUGUUGAUUUGCUCUUCAUUUCAACUCUGUGUGUGUGUGUGUUGGGGGGGUUAUGAUCACCACCCCCAUUUACACUGAGGAAACAGAGGCUUGAGGAGUACAUGACCCAUCCAAGACCACACAGUGAGGAACUGUCAAGGAAGAUCUGAACCCUCGUCUGCGAUUCUCCAGCUUGCAGCCUUAAGCAGCCACCUGCCCUGCCCACUGGCUGGCGAGGAAGAUGCCAUGCAGAUGGUGACUGUUCUUUCCCAUUACACAGCCCGGCUGAAUAACGUGAGAAGCAAAAGCCCUGACUACAGAAAACGCACUCCCCAUGGUAAUGGAUAAAUGAGCCCUGUGGGAUCUUCCUACGAGAGGCCAUUGCCACCCAGAGCCCCAGAGUCUCCAGGCUCCCAGUUCAGUCUCCACCGUGCAGCCCACAUCUUCAGGUCAGGGAAGUUUCUCUGGUUUACGGACCUCCAGCAGGAUCUCGGGCCCAGCCUCUGCUCUAAAGAUGCACAGAGGAAAAAGUGCUGGGCCAGGUCUCAAGGACCACCCAGGGCACCCGUCAACAGGUGAAGCCAAGCCGAGGAGAGGGCUGAGAAGGCACACACAAAGGCACAGGGAUGAGGAGCAGUGGAGUCUUCUGGGACUCCGAGAGCCCUGUGUGGUCAGAGCAUCAGCGGCAAGGCAGCAGGUCAGCAGAAGCAGGAUCACAUACCCAUAACCUCACUCCCUGGCUGGCUGGAAGUCGGCACGCUGGCCCCUCUGGUAGGCAGUUCUCCCACCCUCCAAGUCAGCAGCUGGAGUAUGCACAGGGACAGGCACCCCCACUGAUGCUGUGGGGCGCCCCGUAGAGGUUCCAGCACUUUCCCCACAGCAGUAGGCUGAGUUUGGGCUUCCCCUCCCCUCCUCCUUCUCUCCCUCCCUCCCUUCUUCUUUGCAGGAACUGAGAGCCCCCUUUUACAGCCCCUCACUGCAGGCCCCAAGGGAGCCUGAGGCUGCCAGAAAUGACUGCUAAUACUUCCAGCCACAUUUACUGAAACCUUUUGACACUGGAGGAUAUUUUUAUGAGAUAAGUGCCCUGUGUCGGUACCAACUGGCAAGUUUCAUUGCUCACAUUUCAGUCCUGCAAAAAGCCUUUUUCAAUCACUGUCCGUGGCAACGAUAAACUUUAAUGGCUGAGGGAAAGCCUGCAGCUCAGGCGCUCUGUCCUUCCUGCCUCCCUGCCCCACACCAGCCAAACUCCCUCCCUUCUCUCUGCUGGGCCAGAGGCCGAAGCACAGGGGCCAAUAGAGUUGGGAGAGACAUCAUCCACCCCCACCUCACCUCCUUUAUUUUCCAACUUUGGUAGAUCGCAGGCUCUGGAGGCAUAGGAGAAACACCAGGGAAUCAAGAGAGGCCAAAACCCAGCCCAGUACAGAAGCAGACUCUCUGGGGUGGCUCCAGGGCACCAGCGUUUUAAAAAGCUCCCCAGUGGAUUCCAUCGGGCAGGGGGCGUUGAGAACAGCUGCGCCUCCUCCUGGAAAGGUGGGUCCCUCCUCCUGGGAAGGUGGGUCCUUCCUCAGUCACAGUGCCACUUCCCUUGGCAGGCCGCUCCAUGGCUCACACAUGUUCACACAGACCCUGUCCUGCACCCAGGAGGUGCCAGGCAGACGUUCUCCUGAUGGGAGAAAACCAAAACCCAGAGCUCGUGAGGUCACAGAAAGCCAGGGACCGACAGGCUCUCAGAGCCCAGGGCCCUGCCUUCCCACCAGAGCAGGCAGAGUUUAGAACGAGCAUCUGGGUGAAGACUGGUCCUGGGCUGCCCCCACAGCAGGCACAGGUUCAUGCUCAAGGAAUGAAGAAUGAGUGAAAGAAUAAAUCCAUGAAUGAUUUUACCUACAGUAACUGAUUCAGCCAUCUCAGUGUCCUACAGGUCACCCUGCAUCUCAAGUGGACAGAGACUCACCCACCUUGCACAGUACCCGCUCUGGAAAUGAAGGCAGGAUGUGAAAUAAAGGACCAGCGAGCUAAGUCUGACUCCAAGAGCCUGGCUAUUUUUUCUCAGGCAUCCUUAGCCAACCUGCCUGUGGUUAUGCCAAAGUCCAGGGAUCUAAGGCUGAGGGUCCUGGGGACAGUCAGUCAGAACUGACAGUGGGACUUUGUCUCUCUCAGUGAGGCCCAGGCCUGCCUGGGGGCUCUCAGGGGGAGGGUCACUAGCACCCAGAACCCACAAUCAAGAGGCUGGUGGACUGUUUAAAGAAACUGUCUGAAUUGCAAUUUUUUUUUUUUGAGAUGGAGUCUCACUCUGUCGCCCAAGCCUGAGUGUAGUGGCGUGAUCUCAGCUCACUGCAACCUUCGCCUCCUGGGUUCAAGCAAUUCUUCUAAGUGCCUGCCACUGUGCCCGGCUAAUUUUUGUAUUUUUACUAGAGAUCGUGUUUCACCAUGUUGUCCAGGCUGGUCUCGAACUCCUGACCUCAAGUAAUCCACCUGCCUCAGCCUCCCAAAGUGUUGGGAUUACAGGAAUGACCCACUGCGCCCGGCCCUGAAUUGCAUUAAAAAAAGUUUAUUCCCCCAUGUUGUCUGGCCCCAAAUCCUGCCAUGGAGAACUGGCUUCAAUAAAUGCCCCCUCUGCCAUUCAUCACUUGAGUCUCACUUCCCUCUCCUGCCUCAGCUCAUACCAUUUAUUACACCCACAGUCUCCAAAUGAACAACUUCUGCAACUUACAAACAUACUUGAGAGCUCCACCUGUCCUCCCCAAUCCAUCAAGGCAACAAAAUUCAUUUCUCCUUGGGAGCCUAAAGAAGCCCAGGCUUGGGGACUAAUUAAGCAUUUCCUUUGAAAUGCAUGCAUGCUGUAGAUUGCUGAGGGUGAACUCCAACCUCUAAUAAAAUAGGAACCAGAUGCCAGGAACAGGAGGUGCACAGCAUCCUGCUAUCAUGGCCAUCACCCAGGAGGGACCCGGCGAGGGGCAGCACAGCCUCUGGAGGGCUCUGGCUAAUGUCAAAGUUCAGGUUCACAGCACCAGCUGGAAUUUUUAUUUUGGCCAUCAUCUACAACAAGGAAUGAGUGCCUCCUGACACCCCCAUGAGCACACCAUACCUCCAGCCUUCAUUCCCCCUUCCCUCCUUAUUUUGCACACUCUGGGGAAUCUGGCUGGAGCUCUAAUUCUCCUGCAAAGCCUUCCUGAAAUACUCAAACCUUGAAGGGACUGUUUCCCCUCCCACUACACCCGAUGAGUACUGCAAAGAUACAGCCCUUGGCCACAGAGUGUCAAUUAUUAUAAUAUUAACCACCAUUGCUUCUUCUCUCACUGGACCCUAGGCUUUUCUUAUUAUUGUGUGUUUUCCCAGCAAGUCCUCUAUAGCCGG
RNAcentral lists this long non-coding RNA (7306 nucleotides) under Homo sapiens (human). RNAcentral's name for it is "non-protein coding lnc-TFCP2L1-7:2". The record is from RNAcentral. Lineage: Eukaryota; Metazoa; Chordata; Mammalia; Primates; Hominidae.